GAGAAGCCCAGUGACAUCACCGUCCCUAUCACUGCAGCAGUGGCUGUUCUCGUCCUCGUUGUUUCCACUGGAUUCAUCGUUUACAAAAAGAGGAAAGCCAAACUUCCCCCAUCUCCUCUUGACAGCAGCUCUAAGCUCUCUGAGAAACUCAAUCCAGAAACCUGACUGACAAAAAGAGUAAACACUCUGAUAUGUUAUAUCAUAACUUUACAAAGCUUUACAAAAAAGACUGAAAGAUGGCUUCCUGCAAUCAGAAUUAAGUGGUUAUGAUUCAUAUGCUUGAUAUUCAAACAUUAAAUGUAAUAAAUUUAUUCCAGAUCACAAAUUUUUAAUGUGUUACAUAUGUCAGAUUUUUCUAUUAUUCUUUAUUUUC
Epinephelus moara (kelp grouper) is the source of this 373-nucleotide long non-coding RNA. RefSeq lists it as uncharacterized. NCBI's taxonomy places the organism in Eukaryota, Metazoa, Chordata, Actinopteri, Perciformes, Serranidae. The transcript has 3 exons. The record is from RefSeq and is a predicted model, not a curated record.